AAAGAAUCCAAACAUGGAGAACAUAGCCAAUCUCCCGUUCUUGAUCUCCUUCACUUUGAGCUCCGCAAAAGUGACGGGGUCAUCAGCCAAACCGAGGGGGUCAAAAUACUGACCCCCUGGGUAGAGGUCAUUGCCAUCUCCGACUCCAUCUAGACCGUUGAUUCUGAACCCUUCAACGGCUCCCAUUAGCAAGACUUGGAAUCCAAGAACGGCUAGGAUGCUCUGCGCGUGGACGAGGUUGGGGUUUCCUA
RNAcentral lists this long non-coding RNA (251 nucleotides) under Erythranthe guttata (spotted monkey flower). RNAcentral's name for it is "long non-coding RNA (EGUT_LNC001585)". The record is from RNAcentral. Lineage: Eukaryota; Viridiplantae; Streptophyta; Magnoliopsida; Lamiales; Phrymaceae.